Molecule: ribosomal RNA, 303 nt
Filed under: uncultured bacterium
Lineage: Bacteria
Description: partial 16S ribosomal RNA
Rfam family: Bacterial small subunit ribosomal RNA
Source: RNAcentral
AGCAGUAGCCACGGUAAUACGUAGGGUGCGAGCGUUAAUCGGAAUUACUGGGCGUAAAGCGUGCGCAGGCGGUUGUGUAAGACAGGUGUGAAAUCCCCGGGCUUAACCUGGGAACUGCGCUUGUGACUGCACAGCUAGAGUAUGGCAGAGGGGGGUGGAAUUCCACGUGUAGCAGUGAAAUGCGUAGAGAUGUGGAGGAACACCGAUGGCGAAGGCAGCCCCCUGGGCCAAUACUGACGCUCAUGCACGAAAGCGUGGGGAGCAAACAGGAUUAGAUACCCCCGUAGUCCCUGUCUCUUAUAC